GAGGCAAAGGGCAGGGAGAGAAGGGGGGUGAGGGGGGAGAAACACUCAUUAAAACCCAGGACUCCACAGAGCUGCCGCACAUAGGAUCAUGUAUAGGGAGGAUGCAGAGAAACUGGAAAGGAUCCAGAGGCGAGCGACAAGGGGUGGAAUGCAGCCAUACGAGCAAAGGCUGAAGGAAGGGGGGGGAGGUUAGUUUGGAAAAGAGACGGGGAGGGGGGGAGAGACAUGGUGGUGGUUUUCAAACACUUAACAGGCUGCCAUACGCAAGAUGGAGAAACGUUCUUCUCUUACCACACAGGGCAGGACAAGAGGCAGUGGGUUCGACUGACAGCAGAGCAGAUUUAGAUCAAAUCUCAGUAAGGGCAGUAGGACAAUGGACCAGACCUGCCUAGGGAAGUUGUGGAAGCUCCUUCACUGGAGGUUUUCGAAAGGAGGCUGGAGAGCACCUGUCUUGGAUGGUGCAGACACAGCAAGUCCUGCCCCUUGGCAGGGGUUAGACUAGUUCAGUGGUUCUCAGCCUUCCCAGACGACUG
Non-coding RNA from Chelonoidis abingdonii (Abingdon island giant tortoise), 533 nucleotides. NCBI's taxonomy places the organism in Eukaryota, Metazoa, Chordata, Testudines, Testudinidae. The record is from RefSeq and is a predicted model, not a curated record.